CCUACGGGAAGCAGCAGUGAGGAAUUUUUCACAAUGGACGAAAGUCUGAUGGGAGCAAUACCAUGUGAACGAUGAAGGUCUUCUGAUUGUAAAGUUCUUUUAUUUAGGAAAAAAAGCUUGAGAGGAAAUGAUUAAGCCUUGAUUGUACUAAAUGAAUAAGUGACAGCUAACUAUGUGCCAGCAGCUGCGGUAAAACAUAGGUCACGAGCAUUAUCCGGAUUUAUUGGGCGUAAAGGAAGCGUAGGCGGACAAGUUGAUCUAUUGUGAAAGGCACUUGCUCAACGAGUUGUUUGUGAUAGAUAUCGUUUGUCUAGAAUUAGUUAGGAGAUACUGGAAUUCAAUGUGUAGCGGUGGAAUGCGUAGAUAUAUUGAGGAACACCAGAGGCUAAGGCGAGUAUCUAGGACAUAAUUGACGCUGAGGCUUGAAAGCGUGGGGAGCAAAUGGGAUUAGAUACCCCAGUAGUCCACGCCGUAAACGAUGGGUAUUAGGUAUUUGGUUUAGGACUGAGUGCUGUAGCUAACGCGUUAAAUACCCCGCCUGGGUAGUAUAUAUGCAAAUAUGAAACUCAAAGAAAUUGACGGGGACCUGAACAA
RNAcentral lists this ribosomal RNA (594 nucleotides) under Candidatus Mycoplasma haematominutum. RNAcentral describes it as "bacterial SSU rRNA". It matches the Rfam family "Bacterial small subunit ribosomal RNA", at positions 338 to 928 of the family's 1533-position model. Lineage: Bacteria; Bacillati; Mycoplasmatota; Mollicutes; Mycoplasmatales; Mycoplasmataceae. The record is from RNAcentral.